RNAcentral lists this ribosomal RNA (253 nucleotides) under uncultured bacterium. RNAcentral's name for it is "partial 16S ribosomal RNA". It matches the Rfam family "Bacterial small subunit ribosomal RNA", at positions 524 to 776 of the family's 1533-position model. The record is from RNAcentral.
UACGUAGGGGGCAAGCGUUGUCCGGAUUUAUUGGGCGUAAAGAGCGUGUAGGCGGCUUUACAGGUCCGUUGUGAAAACUCGAGGCUCAACCUCGAGACGCCGGUGGAAACCGUAAAGCUAGAGUCCGGAAGAGGAGAGUGGAAUUCCUGGUGUAGCGGUGAAAUGCGCAGAUAUCAGGAGGAACACCCGUGGCGAAAGCGGGUCUCUGGGCCGAUACUGACGCUGAGGAGCGAAAGCGUGGGGAGCGAACAGG